AAUACGUACGCGAUAGCGUUGGGUGGUGGGCCUUCGCGCGGGGGAGAGUUGACGGAUCUGACGAUAGUUUGGACGGCCGUCAGUCUCCGGCGAGGUGGGCCGUGGAACAGAAUCGGUGUUCCCCGUCUGAUGACAAUCGCUGAGGACUGUGGGUACGGUGUGGGCCAUUUGGGGGAAGCUGAGGACUGCGGCACAGAGGCGAUGAGCGCCGGCGGCGAGACAACAUGGAGUUCUGAUGCAGCCUAUCAGCAGUUUCAGAUCCAGUCUGCUGGAGGAGGUCGGGGAGAGCUUGGUGCCGGCUGCUAGUUGUCGUUGUCUUUGGUGUGGGGGAUUUGUAGGCGGUACCGCGGGCUGAGGCGACGCGGCACACCAGCGGACAGCGGAUAGCGGUGGUGAGCACAAGGGAGAGCUCGCCGCCGAUGUCGGAGCUGUCAACGGGGAAGACGAAUCCCCGAGCACUGGGGUGGAACCAGAGGCUAAGGAUUGGUAUUGCCUCCCCGAGCAAAACACCGCGCCUAAACCGAGUAAGUAUGUUCGAAAAGGCAGUCAGGUGUUUUGCGGAGAACCCAACUGAAAAUGUGACGACACUGGUUCUUGGCACUACUUUCAACUCUGUGGCCGAGGCAUACAAUUUCUACAGUUUGUGUUCAUGGGAAAAGGGGUUUGCCAUCCGGUAUGGCAAGAGCCGGCUAAAUGUCGAGAGGACGAAGUGCAUGCAGGAGAUAGUUUGUGGGUGCUUGGGUAAGGCUGGGGUUGAGAACACAAGGUCUUGCCGUGGCCCAUAACGUUACAUUCUGUCUGGCUGCGGGGACAGGAACUUCACUUUUCCAUUCGACAGAAGGUUGCAAUUAUCCAGUUUUUCCUAGACAGAAGAGAAGCUGGGGCGGCGGCGUCCUUGCGUAGGAGGGCGACGCCAUUGAAGACAUGGAAUUCUUUCUACAGCCAGUUAAAAGGAUUCCAAUCCUUGAGGGGAUGGAUGGCACCGAUAGCCUGAUGGAUGGCACCGACCCUUGGAGCUCCACUGCUGGCAGCCAUGAGUCAUAAGAAGUGGAAGUGAUGAGUGGGAGCCGUAGCUCCUAGAUGUGGAUGCCGGACACCAGUUAACGGGAAGCGCAGCUCUCCGACUAUAUCUCAGCAAUCGAUGGGGAAGGUGAAUCCAGAGACUCCUGGAUGGACAAAAAGGGUAACGAUUGGUGUGGCUGCGUAAAGGAGGACACCUUGUCCUAAUCGCCCAAGUUCGUUGGAGAAAGCAAUUCGUGGGUUCGCUGAGAAUCCAGGGGAAAAUGUGAUUGUACUGAAACUGGGUAUAAGAUUUGAUCUUUAGGUGAAGCAUACAACUUGUACUCCUGCGGGAAGGGGUUUGGUAUUACAUAUUGGAAAAGCAGACUAAAUGUUUAGAGGACAAAAUGCAGGCAGGAAAUCAUUUGCAGCUGUGCGGGAAGGCUGGCGUUGAGAACAGUCGGUCAUGCCAUUGUGAGUGUUGGGCUCUUAUACGAUUGUUGCGAUCGAAAGGCAAUGGUUGGUGCAUAUCAGAGCAUCGGGAGCAACACAUCCAAUCUUUGUCUCCUAAUUGCGGAGAGACAAUACACUGCCUUCACACAAACACAUCGACGUUUACAACCGAGACUGGUGAAGCAGCUACGGCAAAAUAACGUCAAUCUAGCCAAGGUAUACAACAUCAUAGAGAGUUUUUUCACCAAGCGAGCUCUCCAUAAAUUGUGUGGGGAAAUAAACCAUGAGCAGGCAUAGGACGAUGUGAGCAAAACUAUAGGUUUUCACUGAACUGGGUGCAAAGGAUCGACAUUUCACGUAUCUUGUGCAGGCUGAUAAGGAAGGUGAAUCAGUAAAAUUUGGGUGAAUGGGAGCAGUAGAUUGCAGUAAAAUUUUGAGGAUAACACAAAAAAAAUCAAAAUUUUAACAACAAGGGCAGGAGGUUUGCCCAAGCUGUGUAGUGUAUAAGCAGGGGGGUGAGGGGUAGGUGAGGGGCACACUCUGAUUUCAGUCAUCCACGUGAAGCUGUAGUUGGACUAAGAUCAAGUUUCAGUGGGAGGUGAAAUAGAGUGAAUGGCUCUGACCGACUUAUCUAGCGCCUCCUCUGUGGCUACGGGUUUCAAAAUAUACUGAACUGAUUAUAGAUGAUUCUGAUUAACAGCUGUAAGUUCAGAGCAUUAGCUCAGUUCC
Non-coding RNA from Aegilops tauschii subsp. strangulata, 2181 nucleotides. The record is from RefSeq and is a predicted model, not a curated record. Lineage: Eukaryota; Viridiplantae; Streptophyta; Magnoliopsida; Poales; Poaceae.